This 220-nucleotide ribosomal RNA is filed under the name uncultured bacterium. RNAcentral describes it as "partial 16S ribosomal RNA". It matches the Rfam family "Bacterial small subunit ribosomal RNA", at positions 328 to 539 of the family's 1533-position model. The record is from RNAcentral.
ACGCUCGACCUACGGAGGCAGCAGUAGGGAAUCUUCCACAAUGGGCGCAAGCCUGAUGGAGCAACACCGCGUGAGUGAAGAAGGGUUUCGGCUCGUAAAGCUCUGUUGUUGGAGAAGAACGUGCGUGAGAGUAACUGUUCACGCAGUGACGGUAUCCAACCAGAAAGUCACGGCUAACUACGUGCCGGCAGCCGCGGUAAUCUGAGCGGGCUGGCAAGGC